RNAcentral lists this ribosomal RNA (1554 nucleotides) under Staphylococcus aureus. RNAcentral describes it as "16S ribosomal RNA". It matches the Rfam family "Bacterial small subunit ribosomal RNA". The record is from RNAcentral. Lineage: Bacteria; Bacillati; Bacillota; Bacilli; Caryophanales; Staphylococcaceae.
UUUAUGGAGAGUUUGAUCCUGGCUCAGGAUGAACGCUGGCGGCGUGCCUAAUACAUGCAAGUCGAGCGAACGGACGAGAAGCUUGCUUCUCUGAUGUUAGCGGCGGACGGGUGAGUAACACGUGGAUAACCUACCUAUAAGACUGGGAUAACUUCGGGAAACCGGAGCUAAUACCGGAUAAUAUUUUGAACCGCAUGGUUCAAAAGUGAAAGACGGUCUUGCUGUCACUUAUAGAUGGAUCCGCGCUGCAUUAGCUAGUUGGUAAGGUAACGGCUUACCAAGGCAACGAUGCAUAGCCGACCUGAGAGGGUGAUCGGCCACACUGGAACUGAGACACGGUCCAGACUCCUACGGGAGGCAGCAGUAGGGAAUCUUCCGCAAUGGGCGAAAGCCUGACGGAGCAACGCCGCGUGAGUGAUGAAGGUCUUCGGAUCGUAAAACUCUGUUAUUAGGGAAGAACAUAUGUGUAAGUAACUGUGCACAUCUUGACGGUACCUAAUCAGAAAGCCACGGCUAACUACGUGCCAGCAGCCGCGGUAAUACGUAGGUGGCAAGCGUUAUCCGGAAUUAUUGGGCGUAAAGCGCGCGUAGGCGGUUUUUUAAGUCUGAUGUGAAAGCCCACGGCUCAACCGUGGAGGGUCAUUGGAAACUGGAAAACUUGAGUGCAGAAGAGGAAAGUGGAAUUCCAUGUGUAGCGGUGAAAUGCGCAGAGAUAUGGAGGAACACCAGUGGCGAAGGCGACUUUCUGGUCUGUAACUGACGCUGAUGUGCGAAAGCGUGGGGAUCAAACAGGAUUAGAUACCCUGGUAGUCCACGCCGUAAACGAUGAGUGCUAAGUGUUAGGGGGUUUCCGCCCCUUAGUGCUGCAGCUAACGCAUUAAGCACUCCGCCUGGGGAGUACGACCGCAAGGUUGAAACUCAAAGGAAUUGACGGGGACCCGCACAAGCGGUGGAGCAUGUGGUUUAAUUCGAAGCAACGCGAAGAACCUUACCAAAUCUUGACAUCCUUUGACAACUCUAGAGAUAGAGCCUUCCCCUUCGGGGGACAAAGUGACAGGUGGUGCAUGGUUGUCGUCAGCUCGUGUCGUGAGAUGUUGGGUUAAGUCCCGCAACGAGCGCAACCCUUAAGCUUAGUUGCCAUCAUUAAGUUGGGCACUCUAAGUUGACUGCCGGUGACAAACCGGAGGAAGGUGGGGAUGACGUCAAAUCAUCAUGCCCCUUAUGAUUUGGGCUACACACGUGCUACAAUGGACAAUACAAAGGGCAGCGAAACCGCGAGGUCAAGCAAAUCCCAUAAAGUUGUUCUCAGUUCGGAUUGUAGUCUGCAACUCGACUACAUGAAGCUGGAAUCGCUAGUAAUCGUAGAUCAGCAUGCUACGGUGAAUAUGUUCCCGGGUCUUGUACACACCGCCCGUCACACCACGAGAGUUUGUAACACCCGAAGCCGGUGGAGUAACCUUUUAGGAGCUAGCCGUCGAAGGUGGGACAAAUGAUUGGGGUGAAGUCGUAACAAGGUAGCCGUAUCGGAAGGUGCGGCUGGAUCACCUCCUUUCU